RNAcentral lists this ribosomal RNA (571 nucleotides) under uncultured bacterium. RNAcentral's name for it is "bacterial SSU rRNA". It matches the Rfam family "Bacterial small subunit ribosomal RNA", at positions 49 to 611 of the family's 1533-position model. The record is from RNAcentral.
UUACACGUGCAAGUCGAGCGGUAACAUUUCUAGCUUGCUAGAAGAUGACGAGCGGCGGACGGGUGAGUAACGCGUAGGAAUCUGCCUAGUAGUGGGGGACAACAUGUGGAAACGCAUGCUAAUACCGCAUACGCCCUACGGGGGAAAGGAGGGGAUCUUCGGACCUUUCGCUAUUAGAUGAGCCUGCGUGAGAUUAGCUAGUUGGUGGGGUAAAGGCCUACCAAGGCGACGAUCUCUAGCUGGUCUGAGAGGAUGAUCAGCCACACUGGGACUGAGACACGGCCCAGACUCCUACGGGAGGCAGCAGUGGGGAAUAUUGGACAAUGGGCGCAAGCCUGAUCCAGCCAUGCCGCGUGUGUGAAGAAGGCCUUAGGGUUGUAAGGCACUUUCUGGAGUGAGGAAGGGCGUAUAGUUAAUACCUGUAUGUUUUGACGUUAACUCCAGAAGAAGCACCGGCUAACUCUGCGCCAACAGCCGCGGUAAUACAGAGGGUGCGAGCGUUAAUCGGAAUUACUGGGCGUAAAGCGCGCGUANGCGGUUUGUUAAGUCGGAUGUGAAAUCCCAGGGCUCA